GUUUAAACCCCUCCCCUGCUA
Molecule: transfer RNA, 21 nt
Filed under: Amblyospiza albifrons (grosbeak weaver)
Lineage: Eukaryota; Metazoa; Chordata; Aves; Passeriformes; Ploceidae
Description: partial tRNA-Met
Source: RNAcentral